CGCUAGAGGAUCAGACCGACUGAGCUGGCAGCUUGACGAAUCAGAGCAAAGGAUCUAGACUGUUCUUAUCUUUGUAUAAAUAAGAGAAGAGAUACAUUGUAACCUUUAAGUUAUGAAAGCAUAAUUUCAGUGAAAUACUAAAGCUUACAAAGUUUCUGUCUUUACCUUUAGGGCCCACCACAAACUAGCACUACCUUCCUCACAAAAUCAUUAUUCUCAUAUCUUGUUACAACCAUAUCUGUUAAAGCAAAUACCUUGAAGCCAUAGUUCGUGCGUCAAU
RNAcentral lists this long non-coding RNA (280 nucleotides) under Brassica napus (rape). RNAcentral describes it as "long non-coding RNA (BNAP_LNC014597)". The record is from RNAcentral. Lineage: Eukaryota; Viridiplantae; Streptophyta; Magnoliopsida; Brassicales; Brassicaceae.